GCGUUGCUGAUGAGUCCCAUAAUAGGACGAAACGGCCGUCGAUUGU
Molecule: non-coding RNA, 46 nt
Filed under: Schistosoma margrebowiei
Lineage: Eukaryota; Metazoa; Platyhelminthes; Trematoda; Strigeidida; Schistosomatidae
Source: RNAcentral